AGCCUGCGAUCAGUAGCUGAUGUGAGAGCAUGAUCAGCCACACGGGCACUGAGACACGGGCCCGACUCCUACGGGAGGCAGCAGUAAGGAAUAUUGGUCAAUGGACGCAAGUCUGAACCAGCCAUGCCGCGUGGAGGAUGAAGGUCCUCUGGAUUGUAAACUUCUUUUCUCUGGGACGAAACCCCCGAUUUCCAUCGGGCCUGACGGUACCAGAGGAAUAAGCACCGGCUAACUCCGUGCCAGCAGCCGCGGUAAUACGGAGGGUGCAAGCGUUAUCCGGAUUCACUGGGUUUAAAGGGUGCGUAGGCGGGUUUGUAAGUCAGUGGUGAAAUCCCCGAGCUUAACUUGGGAACUGCCAUUGAUACUGCAGAUCUUGAAUUUUCUGGAGGUAAGCGGAAUAUGUCAUGUAGCGGUGAAAUGCUUAGAUAUGACAUAGAACACCCAUUGCGAAGGCAGCUUACUACGGGAAUAUUGACGCUGAGGCACGAAAGCGUGGGGAUCAAACAGGAUUAGAUACCCUGGUAGUCCACGCCCUAAACGAUGAUUACUCGACAUUAGCGAUAUUACAGUUAGUGUCUAAGCGAAAGCAUUAAGUAAUCCACCUGGGAAGUA
This 612-nucleotide ribosomal RNA is filed under the name bacterium DR2A-7G20. RNAcentral's name for it is "bacterial SSU rRNA". It matches the Rfam family "Bacterial small subunit ribosomal RNA", at positions 271 to 882 of the family's 1533-position model. The record is from RNAcentral. RNAcentral also lists the same sequence under 1 other name.